Molecule: ribosomal RNA, 502 nt
Filed under: uncultured bacterium
Lineage: Bacteria
Description: bacterial SSU rRNA
Rfam family: Bacterial small subunit ribosomal RNA
Source: RNAcentral
GACGAACGCUGGCGGCGUGCUUAACACAUGCAAGUCGAACGGAGAACUUUCUUCGGAAUGUUCUUAGUGGCGAACGGGUGAGUAACGCGUAGGCAACCUGCCCUCUGGUUGGGGACAACAUUCCGAAAGGGAUGCUAAUACCGAAUGAGAUCCUCUUUCCGCAUGGAGAGAGGAUGAAAGAUGGCCUCUACUUGUAAGCUAUCGCCAGAAGAUGGGCCUGCGUCUGAUUAGCUUGUAGGUGAGGUAACGGCUCACCUAGGCGAUGAUCAGUAGCCGGUCUGAGAGGAUGAACGGCCACAUUGGGACUGAGACACGGCCCAAACUCCUACGGGAGGCAGCAGUGGGGAAUCUUCCGCAAUGGACGAAAGUCUGACGGAGCAACGCCGCGUGAGUGAUGAAGGCCUUCGGGUUGUAAAACUCUGUUGUCAGGGACGAAAGCACCGAUCUAUAAUACAUUUUGGUGUUGACGGUACCUGACGAGGAAGCCACGGCUAACUACGUG